This 475-nucleotide ribosomal RNA is filed under the name Citrobacter freundii. Its description in RNAcentral is "bacterial SSU rRNA". It matches the Rfam family "Bacterial small subunit ribosomal RNA", at positions 1 to 472 of the family's 1533-position model. Lineage: Bacteria; Pseudomonadati; Pseudomonadota; Gammaproteobacteria; Enterobacterales; Enterobacteriaceae. The record is from RNAcentral.
AAAUUGAAGAGUUUGAUCAUGGCUCAGAUUGAACGCUGGCGGCAGGCCUAACACAUGCAAGUCGAACGGUAGCACAAAGGAGCUUGCUCCUUGGGUGACGAGUGGCGGACGGGUGAGUAAUGUCUGGGAAACUGCCCGAUGGAGGGGGAUAACUACUGGAAACGGUAGCUAAUACCGCAUAACGUCGCAAGACCAAAGAGGGGGACCUUCGGGCCUCUUGCCAUCGGAUGUGCCCAGAUGGGAUUAGCUAGUAGGUGGGGUAACGGCUCACCUAGGCGACGAUCCCUAGCUGGUCUGAGAGGAUGACCAGCCACACUGGAACUGAGACACGGUCCAGACUCCUACGGGAGGCAGCAGUGGGGAAUAUUGCACAAUGGGCGCAAGCUUGAUGCAGCCAUGCCGCGUGUAUGAAGAAGGCCUUCGGGUUGUAAAGUACUUUCAGCGAGGAGGAAGGCGUUGUGGUUAAUAACCGCAA